AAGAGCUUCUACUUGGAUGCUGGACCUUCUGGCAGUCCCUCAGGCUACCACCAAAACUACCUACCUGCCUCUCUGCCUCCACGCCAGGAGUUUUUGGAUUUACACACCCGGAUUACUCCCCCUCUAUGUCAUCUCCGACCUCCGUUGGCAAGUACACAUGACCCCGACCUUUUCCUGGACCUUUUGUGACUUGCUUUCCAGUCCAAUCCCCGGACCCGGACCAGAUCAUUAUUUAGUUAACGUCUACGCUCACCUUUUGUUUAUGAAUAUUUUGUGUGCACAUUAAACAUUAUUCUUAAAAUAUA
This is a non-coding RNA of Maylandia zebra (zebra mbuna), 305 nucleotides long. The record is from RefSeq and is a predicted model, not a curated record. NCBI's taxonomy places the organism in Eukaryota, Metazoa, Chordata, Actinopteri, Cichliformes, Cichlidae.